GUGCUUGUUUUGGCAGCAUAUAUACUAAAAUUGGACUGAUACAGAGAUCAGCAUGGCACCUGCACAAGGAUGACACAAAAAUUCAUGAAGUGUUCCAUAGAUAU
Small nuclear RNA from Octodon degus (degu), 104 nucleotides. Lineage: Eukaryota; Metazoa; Chordata; Mammalia; Rodentia; Octodontidae. The record is from Ensembl.